UACGUAGGGAGCAAGCGUUGUUCGGAUUUACUGGGCGUAAAGGGCGCGUAGGCGGCAAUUCAAGUCAUCUGUGAAAUCUCCGGGCUUAACUCGGAACGGUCAGAUGAUACUGCUUUGCUAGAGUGCAGAAGGGGCAAUCGGAAUUCUCGGUGUAGCGGUGAAAUGCGCAGAUAUCGGGAAGAACACCCGUGGCGAAGGCGGCUCUCUGGGACGGUACUGACGCUGAGACGCGAAAGCGUGGGGAGCGAACAGG
Molecule: ribosomal RNA, 253 nt
Filed under: uncultured bacterium
Lineage: Bacteria
Description: partial 16S ribosomal RNA
Rfam family: Bacterial small subunit ribosomal RNA
Source: RNAcentral